This 482-nucleotide ribosomal RNA is filed under the name uncultured bacterium. RNAcentral describes it as "partial 16S ribosomal RNA". It matches the Rfam family "Bacterial small subunit ribosomal RNA", at positions 28 to 523 of the family's 1533-position model. The record is from RNAcentral.
GACGAACGCUGGAGGCGUGCUUAACUCAUGCAAGUCGAACGAUGAAAUGGAGCUUGCUCCAUGGAUUAGUGGCGAACGGGUGAGUAACACGUGAAUAACCUGCCCUUAAUUUUGGAAUAACCCAGGGAAACCUGGGCUAAUACCGGAUAAGUAAACCUGUGGCAUCACAUGGUUUUGGAAAGUUUUUCGAUUAAGGAUGGAUUCGCGGCCUAUUAGCUUGUUGGUGAGGUAAUGGCUCACCAAGGCGACGACGGGUAGCCGGCCUGAGAGGGUGAACGGCCACACUGGGACUGAGACACGGCCCAGACUCCUACGGGAGGCAGCAGUGGGGAAUAUUGCGCAAUGGACGAAAGUCUGACGCAGCGACGCCUCGUGAGGGACGAAGGUCUUCGGAUUGUAAACCCCUUUCAGCAGGGACGAAGCGAAAGUGACGGUACCUGCAGAAGAAGCACCGGCUAACUAUGUGCCAGCCGCCGCCGUAA